GACGAACGCUGGCGGCGUGCUUAACACAUGCAAGUCGUACGGUAAGGCCCUUUCGGGGGUACACGAGUGGCGAACGGGUGAGUAACACGUGAGUAACCUGCCCACAACUUUGGGAUAACGCUAGGAAACUGGUGCUAAUACUGGAUAUGUGCUCCUGCUGCAUGGUGGGGGUUGGAAAGCUCCGGCGGUUGUGGAUGGACUCGCGGCCUAUCAGCUUGUUGGUGGGGUAGUGGCCUACCAAGGCGGCGACGGGUAGCCGGCCUGAGAGGGUGACCGGCCACAUUGGGACUGAGAUACGGCCCAGACUCCUACGGGAGGCAGCAGUGGGGAAUAUUGCACAAUGGGCGCAAGCAUGAUGCAGCAACGCCGCGUGCGGGAUGACGGCAUUCGGGUUGUAAACCGCUUUCAGCAGGGACGAAGCUUUUUGUGACGGUACCUGCAGAAGAAGCACCGGCUAACUACGUG
RNAcentral lists this ribosomal RNA (465 nucleotides) under uncultured bacterium. RNAcentral describes it as "partial 16S ribosomal RNA". It matches the Rfam family "Bacterial small subunit ribosomal RNA", at positions 28 to 507 of the family's 1533-position model. The record is from RNAcentral.